AUGAGCAGGGUCACGGGCACUAGUUUUGUGUUGCAGUUUGAUGAGUGGAAAAAGAAGGAGCCGCAUGGCACGCCGUUAACUCAGAUUUGGGUUCGUUUCUCUGGGGCGCCAUCUGCUCCCCUGGACAGCUUUUUGGUUACGUGGAGCCUGGGUUCUUUGAUUGGCAAGACUGAGCAGGUGGAUAUGCAGUCCACACGUGCUCACGAGGUGGCGCGUUUGCUUGUCAGUGUUGCUAAUAUUGAGUUCCCGCCGGACAAACGCAUGAAGGCGUUUUGUAUCAGUUGGAUGUUGAGUAUGAGGAUCCUAACUUUUCAGUGA
Molecule: ribosomal RNA, 318 nt
Filed under: Triticum aestivum (bread wheat)
Lineage: Eukaryota; Viridiplantae; Streptophyta; Magnoliopsida; Poales; Poaceae
Description: partial small subunit ribosomal RNA
Source: RNAcentral